AACGAACGCUGGCGGCAGGCCUAACACAUGCAAGUCGAGCGCGCCUUUCGGGGUUAGCGGCGGACGGGUGAGUAACACGUGGGAACGUGCCCUUUUCUUCGGAAUAGCCUCGGGAAACUUAUAGUAAUACCGUAUAUGCCCUUUGGGGGAAAGAUUUAUCGCCUAAGGAUCGGCCCGCGUUGGAUUAGGUAGUUGGUUGGGUAAUGGCCUACCAAGGCGACGAUCCAUAGCUGGUUUGAGAGGAUGAUCAGCCACACUGGGACUGAGACACGGCCCAAACUCCUACGGGAGGCAGCAGUGGGGAAUCUUGGGCAAUGGGGGAAAGCCUGAUGUAGCCAUGCCGCGUGAAUGAUGAAGGCCUUAGGAUUGUAAAAUUCUUUCAGCGGGGAAGAUAAUGACGGUACCAGCAGAAGAAGCCCCGGCUAACUCCGUG
This 433-nucleotide ribosomal RNA is filed under the name uncultured bacterium. RNAcentral describes it as "partial 16S ribosomal RNA". It matches the Rfam family "Bacterial small subunit ribosomal RNA", at positions 29 to 507 of the family's 1533-position model. The record is from RNAcentral.